GUUGACCUCGGAUCAGGUAGGGAUACCCGCUGAACUUAAGCAUAUCAAUAAGCGGAGGAAAAGAAACCAACAGGGAUUGCUCUAGUAACGGCGAGUGAAGCAGCAAUAGCUCAAAUUUGAAAUCUGGCGUCUUCGGCGUCCGAGUUGUAAUUUGUAGAGGAUGCUUCUGGGCAGCCACCGACCUAAGUUCCUUGGAACAGGACGUCAUAGAGGGUGAGAAUCCCGUAUGCG
Molecule: ribosomal RNA, 231 nt
Filed under: Cladosporium sphaerospermum
Lineage: Eukaryota; Fungi; Ascomycota; Dothideomycetes; Cladosporiales; Cladosporiaceae
Description: partial 28S ribosomal RNA
Rfam family: Eukaryotic large subunit ribosomal RNA
Source: RNAcentral